CACGUAGGGUGCGAGCGUUGUCCGGAAUUAUUGGGCGUAAAGAGCUCGUAGGCGGUGUGUCGCGUCGGCCGUGAAAACCUGCAGCUUAACUGUGGGCUUGCGGUCGAUACGGGCAGACUAGAGGCAUGCAGGGGAGAACGGAAUUCCUGGUGUAGCGGUGAAAUGCGCAGAUAUCAGGAGGAACACCGGUGGCGAAGGCGGUUCUCUGGGCAUGUCCUGACGCUGAGGAGCGAAAGUGUGGGGAGCGAACAGG
RNAcentral lists this ribosomal RNA (253 nucleotides) under uncultured bacterium. RNAcentral describes it as "partial 16S ribosomal RNA". It matches the Rfam family "Bacterial small subunit ribosomal RNA", at positions 524 to 776 of the family's 1533-position model. The record is from RNAcentral.